AGAGUUUGAUUCUGGCUCAGGAUGAACGCUAGCUACAGGCUUAACACAUGCAAGUCGAGGAGUAGCAGGGUAGCAAUACCGCUGACGACCGGCGCACGGGUGAAGUAACACGUAUCCAACCUUCCCAUAACUCAGGGAUAGCCUUUCGAAAGAAAGAUUAAUACCUGAUAGUACUUUUUCAAGGCAUCUUAGAAAAAGUUAAAGAUUUAUUGAUUAUGGAUGGGGAUGCGUUCCAUUAGAUAGUUGGUGAGGUAACGGCUCACCAAGUCUUCGAUGGAUAGGGGUUCUGAGAGGAAGGUCCCCCACAUUGGUACUGAGACACGGACCAAACUCCUACGGGAGGCAGCAGUGAGGAAUAUUGGUCAGUGGGCGAGAGCCUGAACCAGCCAAGUAGCGUGAAGGAAUGAAGGUCCUAUGGAUUGUAAACUUCUUUUAUAGUAGAAUAAAGUGAGCCACGUGUGGUUUUUUGUAUGUAUACUAUGAAUAAGGAUCGGCUAACUCCGUGCCAGCAGCGGC
Molecule: ribosomal RNA, 516 nt
Filed under: uncultured bacterium
Lineage: Bacteria
Description: bacterial SSU rRNA
Rfam family: Bacterial small subunit ribosomal RNA
Source: RNAcentral